Molecule: ribosomal RNA, 62 nt
Filed under: Polygala tenuifolia
Lineage: Eukaryota; Viridiplantae; Streptophyta; Magnoliopsida; Fabales; Polygalaceae
Description: partial 26S ribosomal RNA
Source: RNAcentral
ACGCGACCCCAGGUCAGGCGGGACCACCCGCUGAGUUUAAGCAUAUCAAUAAGCCGGAGGAA